RNAcentral lists this ribosomal RNA (497 nucleotides) under uncultured bacterium. RNAcentral's name for it is "partial 16S ribosomal RNA". It matches the Rfam family "Bacterial small subunit ribosomal RNA", at positions 28 to 507 of the family's 1533-position model. The record is from RNAcentral.
GAUGAACGCUGGCGGCGUGCCUAAUACAUGCAAGUCGAGCGAACAGACGAGGAGCUUGCUCCUCUGACGUUAGCGGCGGACGGGUGAGUAACACGUGGAUAACCUACCUAUAAGACUGGGAUAACUUCGGGAAACCGGAGCUAAUACCGGAUAAUAUAUUGAACCGCAUGGUUCAAUAGUGAAAGACGGUUUUGCUGUCACUUAUAGAUGGAUCCGCGCCGCAUUAGCUAGUUGGUAAGGUAACGGCUUACCAAGGCAACGAUGCGUAGCCGACCUGAGAGGGUGAUUGGGCAGACUGGAACUGAGACACGGCCCAGACUCCUACGGGAGGCAGCAGUAGGGAAUCUUCCGCAAUGGGGGAAAGCCUGACGGAGCAACGCCGCGUGAGUGAUGAAGGUCUUCGGAUCGUAAAACUCUGUUAUCAGGGAAGAACAAAUGUGUAAGUAACUAUGCACGUCUUGACGGUACCUAAUCAGAAAGCCACGGCUAACUACGUG